RNAcentral lists this ribosomal RNA (253 nucleotides) under uncultured bacterium. Its description in RNAcentral is "partial 16S ribosomal RNA". It matches the Rfam family "Bacterial small subunit ribosomal RNA", at positions 524 to 776 of the family's 1533-position model. The record is from RNAcentral.
UACGUAGGGCGCGAGCGUUGUCCGGAAUUAUUGGGCGUAAAGAGCUCGUAGGCGGCCUGUCACGUCCGCUGUGAAAUCCCGGGGCUCAACCCCGGGCCUGCAGUGGAUACGGGCUGGCUGGAGGCAGGCAGGGGAGAACGGAAUUCCUGGUGUAGCGGUGAAAUGCGCAGAUAUCAGGAGGAACACCGAUUGCGAAGGCAGCUCGCUGGGACGUCACUGACGCUGAGACGCGAAAGCGUGGGGAGCAAACAGG